Molecule: long non-coding RNA, 1164 nt
Filed under: Homo sapiens (human)
Lineage: Eukaryota; Metazoa; Chordata; Mammalia; Primates; Hominidae
Description: HSALNT0240696
Source: RNAcentral
CAAACAUUUAUUGAGCACCUACUGGUCAGGGCCCUGGAACCACUAGACUCUUAGUCCAGUGCUCUUCAGGACCCUGGAGGACCCUCUGCAAUUUGGCCUGAGACUCCAGCCAGCAGCUGGAAACUCCUUGUCCAGGAGACUGUCCAGGUGAGGAGCUCAGCAGUGAGGAGGGCGGACCCCAUCAGCCCACUUGCCAACCUGCAAUGCCACCACCAUCCUGUGGUCCAGAGACAUAGAAGUGGCAGGAUGGGUCUGGGGUGCAGCACCCAUGGGUGAGGCAGGAUGGGGGUCCAGUCAGCUGUGUCCAUCUUAAGUUUUUUUUUUUUUUUUUGAGAUGGAGUCUCACUCUGUCGCCCAGGCUGGAGUGCAGUGGCACGAUCUCGGCUCACUGCAAGCUCCGCCUCCUGGGUUCAGGCGAUUCUCCUGCCUCAGCUACGAUUACAGGUGUGUGCCACCAUGCCUGGCUAAUUUUUGUAUUUUUUAGUAGAGAUGGGGUUUCACCAUGUUGGCCAGGCUGGUCUUGAACUCCUGACCUCAAGUGAUCGGCCUCUCAGUGCUGGGAUUACAGGCGUGAGCCACCGUGCCGGCCCGUCUUGUUUUUUUUUAAAGAUGGAGUCUCGCUCUGUCGCCCAGGCUGGAGUGCGGUGGCGCAAUCUCAGUUCACUGCAACCUUUGCCUCCCAGGUUCAAGCGAUUCUCCUGCCUCAGCCUCUUGAGUAGCUGGGAUUUCAGGCGCCUGCCACCACACCCGGCUAAUUUAUGUAUUUUAGUAGAGACGGAGGUCUCAUCAUGUUGGCCAGGCUGGUCUUGAACUCCUGGCCUCAAGUGAUCCACCCACCUUGGCCUCCCAAAAUGCUGGGAUUACAGGUGUGAGCCACCGCACCUGGCCCAUCUUAAGUUUUUAAUAAAUAGUUCUUGCUGCUGCCCAGGCUGGUGAGGGUGGGUGGAUCACUUGAGGUCAGGAGUUCGAGUCCAGCCUGGCCAACAUGGCGAAACCCUGUCUCUACUAAAAAAAAAAAUUAGCCGGGUGUGGUGGCAGGCGCCUGUAGUCCCAGCUACUCAGGAGGCUGAGGCAGGAGAAUCGCUUGAACCCGGGAGGCAGAGGUUGCAGUGAGCUGAGACCGCGCCACUGCACUCCAGCCUGGUGACAGAGCAAGACUCAGUC